This 102-nucleotide microRNA precursor is filed under the name Manduca sexta (tobacco hornworm). Its description in RNAcentral is "microRNA mse-mir-137 precursor". Its record names the gene mse-mir-137. The stretch from base 18 to 90 matches the Rfam family "mir-137 microRNA precursor family". Lineage: Eukaryota; Metazoa; Arthropoda; Insecta; Lepidoptera; Sphingidae. The record is from miRBase by way of RNAcentral.
GGAAGAAUCCUGCACUUGUAGGACACGCGUAUUCUUGGGGAAUUAACACACAUUAUGAGAUGUUAUUGCUUGAGAAUACACGUAGCUAACAAGGGAGGAAAC